RNAcentral lists this ribosomal RNA (497 nucleotides) under uncultured bacterium. RNAcentral's name for it is "partial 16S ribosomal RNA". It matches the Rfam family "Bacterial small subunit ribosomal RNA", at positions 28 to 507 of the family's 1533-position model. The record is from RNAcentral.
GAUGAACGCUGGCGGCGUGCCUAAUACAUGCAAGUCGAGCGGUCAGACGAGGAGCUUGCUCCUCUGACGUUAGCGGCGGACGGGUGAGUAACACGUGGAUAAUCUACCUAUAAGCCUGGGAUAACUUCGGGAAACCGGUGCUAAUACCGCAUAAUAUCUUUAACCGUAUGGUUCAAUAGUGAAAGACGGUAUUGCUGUCACUUAUAGAUGUAUCCGCUCCGCAUUAGCGAGUUGGUAAGGUAACGGCUUACAAAGGCAACGAAGCGUAGCCGACCUGAGAGGGGGAUCGCCCACACUGGAACUGAGACACGGUCCAGACUCCUACGGGAGGCAGCAGUAGGGAAUCUUCCGCAAUGGGCGAAAGCCUGACGGAGCAACGCCGCGUGAGUGAUGAAGGUCUUCGGAUCGUAAAACUCUGUUAUUAGGGAAGAACAAAUGUGGAAGGAACUAUGCACGUCGUGACGGUACCUAAUCAGAAAGCCACGGCUAACUACGUG